ACCUGCUAGUCAUGCUGACCACAGCCGCCCAGGCAUGGCUGAUGGGGCUACCGAGGUACACCAUCAACAGUUGGUCCAAACUGAAGGGGCAAUU
This is a non-coding RNA of Oryza barthii, 94 nucleotides long. The record is from Rfam. NCBI's taxonomy places the organism in Eukaryota, Viridiplantae, Streptophyta, Magnoliopsida, Poales, Poaceae.